UACGGGGGGGAGCAAGCGUUGUUCGGAUUUACUGGGCGUAAAGCGUGCGCAGGCGGUUUGCUAAGACAGGUGUGAAAUCCCCGGGCUUAACCUGGGAACUGCGCUUGUUACUGGCAAGCUAGAGUGUGGCAGAGGGGGGUGGAAUUCCAGGUGUAGCAGUGAAAUGCGUAGAGAUCUGGAGGAACACCGAUGGCGAAGGCAGCCCCCUGGGCUAACACUGACGCUCAUGCACGAAAGCGUGGGGAGCAAACAGG
RNAcentral lists this ribosomal RNA (254 nucleotides) under uncultured bacterium. RNAcentral describes it as "partial 16S ribosomal RNA". It matches the Rfam family "Bacterial small subunit ribosomal RNA", at positions 524 to 776 of the family's 1533-position model. The record is from RNAcentral.